CAGCCUCCGCGGGAAUACAGAGGGUGCGAGCGUUAAUCGGAUUUACUGCGCGUAAAGCGUGCAUAGGCGGCUUCUUAAGUCGGAUGUGAAAUCCCUGAGCUUAACUUAGGAAUUGCAUUCGAUACUGGGAAGCUAGAGUAUGGGAGAGGAUGGUAGAAUUCCAGGUGUAGCGGUGAAAUGCGUAGAGAUCUGGAGGAAUACCGAUGGCGAAGGCAGCCAUCUGGCCUAAUACUGACGCUGAGGUACGAAAGCAUGGGGAGCAAACAGGAUUAGAUACCCCCGUAGUCCCUGUCUCUUAUAC
This 301-nucleotide ribosomal RNA is filed under the name uncultured bacterium. RNAcentral's name for it is "partial 16S ribosomal RNA". It matches the Rfam family "Bacterial small subunit ribosomal RNA", at positions 509 to 807 of the family's 1533-position model. The record is from RNAcentral.